This 1398-nucleotide long non-coding RNA is filed under the name Chinchilla lanigera (long-tailed chinchilla). Its description in RNAcentral is "lncRNA (ENSCLAG00000023642.1)". Lineage: Eukaryota; Metazoa; Chordata; Mammalia; Rodentia; Chinchillidae. The record is from RNAcentral.
CUCACCUGCGGCCGCGCCGCGCGCUCGGAAGGGGGACUGCGGAGGGGACAGCGCGAUGUCCUCGAGGGCGGAAGCCCCCAAGAACUCCCGGCCCGCAGUCCUUCCCAGAGCCGCGGCCACGCAGGCUGUGGACAAAGGCGGCCCGAGGGUGCUGGCACCCCCAGCUCCCAGCCGCCGCGGACGCGCGGGAACCCGCAGCCGGCGGGCGAGUGGGCGGGCAGAUAGCGAGGCCAGCGGCUGGAGCGGCCAGAUAGGCACUGGGCACUGGUGGCGUGAGUGGGCACGGAGUGGGGGCCACGAGCGGGCACACACCCGGCCCCGCAGGCCCCUCUCGGAAGCCCCGGGAGCUCAGGCGGACCGCCCGCACUCCCGUUCCGGCGCUGCCAGCGCAGCCCGGCGCCCACCUUCUCCGCUGAACCGGCGUCUGCACGCAGCUCCCAGAUCCCGGAUCGCCCCCGCCUCCUGCCUGCUUCAGCUCCUUGGUGACGGCGGUGACACCCAGACGCGCGCACCUACCCCGAUCAUAGCGGCGAGACAGACAGACAUCCCGGUCUCAAGCUCUGAGGAUGCUGAUCCAAUGUGGUAUCUGAUUCACUGGGGGCAGGGAGGGACGGCCAGUUUCCCCCAUGCUUCCUGCCUCGGUCUGGAACCUUCUGGCUCAUAAGAGGACACACCAGGAGUCUGUAACCAAGAUUCUCCAGGGCCAGAACCUGGGCUUCUGAAAAUCAUUUUCUUCAGAGAGGCACAAAAGGGAAGUUUGCAGAGGGUUGCAGACAUUCUUCAAACACCCUUACCCCAUCUAAGCCUCCACAUGAUGCCUAAUCUGAAUAAAACCACGGUGUCCCUGGCCUGUGCCCCUUUCCAGUGCCAGUGACUUCUGUCCUGUAGAGCCCCUCGGGGUUACCACUCGUUACAUUACUGAGUGGCACCCCCAGCUCCUCUUGUGCUGCUGUCGCACGCUGGUUAUGUGUAAUGAAGAGAAAUGCAUUUGGCUUACUGUUCUGGGGUCCGGAGAGUCUGAGUUAGAGGGGCUGCAUGUGUCGAGGGUUUCUUGCUGUGUCAUCCAUGACAGGAGGUGUUAUGGUUUGUGUCUAGAUGUCCUUUCAAAGCCUCAUGCGGUCAUGGGGGGUGGGCUUUUCAUAAGUGGCUGAAUCUAGAGUUUGUGAUUGAUUCAUAGUUUGAUGCUGGAUUUAAGGUUAUGAGUGCUAUACCUGCCCCAAGCGGGAAACCUGCAUACAGUUUAAGGGGCAAGAAAGGCUUGUCCCUUCUCCCUUCCCUCACUUGCUUCUGCUGGUUUCUGCCACCAUGAACUGUUGCCCUCUGCUAUGCACCACCCUGCCUUGGAGUCAGCUGAUUAUGGACUGAACCUCUACAAUUGUGAGCUAAAUAAACCUUUCC